CCUACGGGUGGCUGCAGUGGGGAAUUUUGGACAAUGGGCGCAAGCCUGAUCCAGCCAUGCCGCGUGCAGGAUGAAGGCCCUCGGGUUGUAAACUGCUUUUGUACGGAACGAAAAGCCUCUCUCGAAUAAAGAGGGGUGAUGACGGUACCGUAAGAAUAAGCACCGGCUAACUACGUGCCAGCAGCCGCGGUAAUACGUACGGUGCGAGCGGGCGUCGGGAUUACUGGGCGUAAAGCGCGAGCCAGUGGUGAAAUCCCCGGGCUCAACCUGGGAACGGCCAUUGUGACUGCAAGGCUGGAGUACGGCAGAAGGGGGUGGAAUUCCGCGUGUAGCAGUGAAAUGCGUAGAUAUGCGGAGGAACACCGAUGGCGAAGGCAGCCCCCUGGGCCUGUACUGACGCUCAUGCACGAAAGCGUGGGGAGCAAACAGGAUUAGAUACCCGGGUAGUC
Molecule: ribosomal RNA, 449 nt
Filed under: uncultured bacterium
Lineage: Bacteria
Description: partial 16S ribosomal RNA
Rfam family: Bacterial small subunit ribosomal RNA
Source: RNAcentral